This 499-nucleotide ribosomal RNA is filed under the name uncultured bacterium. RNAcentral's name for it is "partial 16S ribosomal RNA". It matches the Rfam family "Bacterial small subunit ribosomal RNA", at positions 30 to 523 of the family's 1533-position model. The record is from RNAcentral.
AUUGAACGCUGGCGGCAUGCCUUACACAUGCAAGUCGAACGGUAACAGGUCUUCGGAUGCUGACGAGUGGCGAACGGGUGAGUAAUACAUCGGAACGUGCCUAGUAGUGGGGGAUAACUACUCGAAAGAGUGGCUAAUACCGCAUGAGAUCUACGGAUGAAAGCAGGGGAUCGCAAGACCUUGUGCUACUAGAGCGGCCGAUGGCAGAGUUAGGUCGCUGGUGGGAUAAAAGAUUACCAAGCCGACGAUCUGUAGCUGGUCUGAGAGGACGAUCAGCCACACGUGGCUUGAGAGACGGCCCAGACUCCGACGGGAGGCAGCAGUGGGGAAUUUUGGACGAUGGGCGAAAGCCUGAACCAGCAAUGCGGCGUGCAGGACGAAGGCCUUCGUGUUGUAAACUGCUUAUGUACGGAACGAAAAGCCCCGGAUUAAUACCCUGGGGUCAUGACGGUACCGUAAGAAUAAGCACCGGCUAACUACGUGCCAGCCGCCGCGGUAA